ACAGCUAAAAUGUUUAGGUCCCGUUAUUAGACAGGUGUUGAUAAUGAGGUCCAGAAACAGGCCUCAAAUGGACCAUGCUGUCUACAUAUCUGGGUCCAGACCCACACUACUACUGCUUGCCAUCAGUACAGCAUCAGGGAGCUUGGAAUGUCUUCCAGAGAAUGCACUAUGCCUCACGUCCAAUUGCCCGAUUGCAUCAUUCUUUCUCUUCACCAAUGCCGAUCCCCGCUCUGAUUGAGGAGAACGAAGCUAACCCACGCCCCCUCCGACACGUGGGCAGCAUGCCGUAUUCAUCUUAUCACCUACACUUUGACGAGUGCAGUGCAGCUCAGCGUUGUGUACGGAGAGACACACCCUGACAGCAGUCUUUUUUUAUUUCUGUGCAGGCGCCAUCAAUCAGCCAGCAGAGGUCGUAAUUGCACCAGUCAUAAGACAGAGACCCCAUCUGGCUUAGUCCCGCCCAUAUCUGAACAACAGGUCAGUCGUUGUUCAUGUGGCCGCUCAGCCUUAGCUGGCAGUCAGAGCUGAGAUUCGAUACGAUGUAUUCGAGAUCCCAGCUCUGGUUCCAGCAUGUGUUUUUACCGCUGCGGCCCUGUCCAUUGGUUUUUUACACCAAUGGCCGGCACGGUGGUGAAGUGGGUAGCACUGUAGCCUCACAGCAAAAAGGUCCUGGGUAACGCCUUAGGUGGGGCAGUCCUGGUCCUUUCUGUGUGGAGUUUGCAUGUUCUCCCCGUGUCCGCGUGGGUUUACUCCGGGAGCUCCGGUUUCCUCCCACAAUCCAAAGACAUGCAAGUGAGGUGAAUUGGAGAUACUAAAUUGUCCAUGACUGUGUUUGAUGUAACCUUGUGAACUGAUGAAUCUUGUGUAAUGAGUAACUACCGUUCCUGUCAUGAAUGUAACCAAACUGUAAAACAUGAUGUUAAAAUCCUAAUAAACAAAAAACAAACAAA
Molecule: long non-coding RNA, 950 nt
Organism: Trichomycterus rosablanca
Lineage: Eukaryota; Metazoa; Chordata; Actinopteri; Siluriformes; Trichomycteridae
Exons: 3
Source: RefSeq, a predicted model, not a curated record